This 64-nucleotide transfer RNA is filed under the name Aporrectodea caliginosa. RNAcentral describes it as "tRNA-Pro". The record is from RNAcentral. Lineage: Eukaryota; Metazoa; Annelida; Clitellata; Crassiclitellata; Lumbricidae.
CAGAUAAUAGUUUAACAUAAAACACCGGCUUUGGGUGCCAAAAAUCACUUUGCGUGUUAUCUGA